RNAcentral lists this ribosomal RNA (273 nucleotides) under uncultured bacterium. RNAcentral describes it as "partial 16S ribosomal RNA". It matches the Rfam family "Bacterial small subunit ribosomal RNA", at positions 28 to 287 of the family's 1533-position model. The record is from RNAcentral.
GACGAACGCUGGCGGCGUGCCUAACACAUGCAAGUGGAGCGACGAACCAGGCUUCGGCCUGGGGCAAAGCCGCGAACGGGUGAGUAACACGUGGGUAACCUGCCCCGAUGAUUGGGACGAACCCGACGGAAACGUACGGGCGUAAUAACCGAAUGUGCCCUACCAGCUUCAAGGCUGGUGGGGAAAGGAAGCUUCGGCCUCCGCAUCGGGAUGGGCCCGCGGCCCAUUAGCUUGUUGGUGAGGUAACGGCNCACCAAGGCUACGAUGGGUAGC